AAUAGACACGUCAGCAUGAAGCGAAUAUCCUGUAUACUUCUUUCAACUACGAGUGCCGAAAAUUAUUUGGAGGCAAUAAGCAUGGGUAUUUACAACCGAAUAAUUCAUAUUCAAAUUGGCUGUAAACUGUGGAUUGUAUUGAAUUCAGAUGAA
Megalopta genalis is the source of this 153-nucleotide non-coding RNA. The record is from RefSeq and is a predicted model, not a curated record. NCBI's taxonomy places the organism in Eukaryota, Metazoa, Arthropoda, Insecta, Hymenoptera, Halictidae.